RNAcentral lists this ribosomal RNA (440 nucleotides) under uncultured bacterium. Its description in RNAcentral is "partial 16S ribosomal RNA". It matches the Rfam family "Bacterial small subunit ribosomal RNA", at positions 338 to 795 of the family's 1533-position model. The record is from RNAcentral.
CCUACGGGAGGCAGCAGUAGGGAAUAUUGCACAAUGGGGGAAACCCUGAUGCAGCGACGCCGCGUGAGGGAAGAAGGUUUUCGGUAUGUAAAGCUCUAUUGGUAGGGAAGAAAAUGACGGUACCUGAGUAAUACGCACCGGCUAACUCCGUGCCAGCAGCCGCGGUAAUACGGAGGGUGCAAGCGUUACCCGGAAUUACUGGGCGUAAAGAGCGCGUAGGCGGGAUAGCAAGUCAGGUGUGAAAUCCUAGGGCUUAACCCUAGAACUGCAUUUGAAACUGUUAGUCUGGAGUGUGGGAGAGGUAGGUGGAAUUCUUGGUGUAGGGGUAAAAUCCGUAGAGAUCAGGAGGAAUACUAAUUGCGAAGGCGACCUGCUAGAACGUAACUGACGCUGAUGCGCGAAAGCGUGGGGAGCAAACAGGAUUAGAUACCCGGGUAGUC